AGUGAACGCUGGCGGUAGGCCUAGCACAUGCAAGUCGAACGGCAGCACAGUAAGAGCUUGCUCUUACGGGUGGCGAGUGGCGGACGGGUGAGGAAUACAUCGGCAUCUACUUUUUCGUGGGGGAUAACGUAGGGAAACUUACGCUAAUACCGCAUACGACCUACGGGUGAAAGCAGGGGAUCUUCGGACCUUGCGCGAUUGAAUGAGCCGAUGUCGGAUUAGCUAGUUGGCGGGGUAAAGGCCCACCAAGGCGACGAUCCGUAGCUGGUCUGAGAGGAUGAUCAGCCACACUGGAACUGAGACACGGUCCAGACUCCUACGGGAGGCAGCAGUGGGGAAUAUUGGACAAUGGGCGCAAGCCUGAUCCAGCCAUACCGCGUGGGUGAAGAAGGCCUUCGGGUUGUAAAGCCCUUUUGUUGGGAAAGAAAAGCAGCAGGUUAAUACCCCGCUGUUCUGACGGUACCCAAAGAAUAAGCACCGGCUAACUUCGUG
Molecule: ribosomal RNA, 492 nt
Filed under: uncultured bacterium
Lineage: Bacteria
Description: partial 16S ribosomal RNA
Rfam family: Bacterial small subunit ribosomal RNA
Source: RNAcentral